Molecule: ribosomal RNA, 390 nt
Filed under: Triticum aestivum (bread wheat)
Lineage: Eukaryota; Viridiplantae; Streptophyta; Magnoliopsida; Poales; Poaceae
Description: partial small subunit ribosomal RNA
Source: RNAcentral
AUGAAGCAAAAGGUUCCUGUCAAGAGAGCUCCAAUGUCUAAGGCCAGAGCAUCCACUCAAGAGACUUUGGGAUCUACAUCCAAAGAGCAGGUUGUGGCAGAAAAGAAAAGGAGGGAAAGGGUCAAAAAGACCACUGCCAGAGUGCUUGGAAGAUCUUCAAUCAUGAAAGACUCCGAAGAAGAGGAAGAGGAAGAGGAUGCUGCAGCAGCACCUAAGGCACAUAAGCUUAUGGGAGAUGCCAUAAGAUCAGGGGCUUCUUCAUCUAAGCCCAAAGGAACUUCCAAGCCAGCUGCUCCAAAACCCAAAACUGCACCAAAGAGGAGUACCAGGAACAUUCCAGCUGCUGAGAAAAACAAGGCCCAGUGCCUGAAACUGUUGCUGAAGAAGUAG